This is a long non-coding RNA of Vigna unguiculata (cowpea), 354 nucleotides long. RefSeq lists it as uncharacterized. NCBI's taxonomy places the organism in Eukaryota, Viridiplantae, Streptophyta, Magnoliopsida, Fabales, Fabaceae. The record is from RefSeq and is a predicted model, not a curated record.
UAGAAAUUAGAUCUCAAAAGUUUAUGAUUCAUAGUUGUUUGCAAUUUUUCGCUUUCUUCUCGAUGAAUCAUCUGUUCCAUCAAAGUCGGCGGUGGCUGCACUCUGACUUGUACUGAAAAAGGAAUCUUCCGAUCAAGCCAAAGAACAAAUUCACUUGAAUCGCACUCCAUAACUAAACAUUUUGCACAAGGGACAAGGAGUUUCAUCCCUUAGUUAAGGUACUUAUUCGAGUCUUGCUAAUGAAAAUAAUAGGUGUCAAAGAGAAUUUUUUUUCUUUGCAAUCACAACUGCAGUUAAAAAGUGAGUUCCAAAUACAGAUGCUGAAGGGAUCUUGGACCAAAAAAAAAAAAUGUA